GCGAUAUCUUGCGAAACGCGGCAAGGGACCUGUAAUGAGAUCUGCUGAGUAAUAUGCGCAAUAAUGUCUUGCCGUUCCUGGGGGCGCCCCGCUCUGCGGAGAGGCGCGAGGGAGCUGCUGCGGGGAACGUGCUGAAGCAUCGUCCUCUUUUAACAAACGUUGCUGCUGUGACACUUUUUUCUGAAAGCAGGAGGCUGGGCUUCUGUGUCUCAACAGCGGAUGGGAAAAAUCUGGAGGAGCUUCCAUUAGUGGACAUCAGCAACAGAUAUUGGCUCUGCUGAAGAUACUGUGAACUCUUUCGCAGCUAGUACAGACAGCUUGUGUUUUAACGGCUACGAGGAGAUGGCAGGCCUAGCUUGAACAAAGCCAUAUGUCGUACUCACAAGGGAGAAGAAGUUCAGUUUGAGUCUGGAAGCCUCUGACAAUGUGGAGAAAAUUGACCUCCAGAGGGCAAGUGCUUCUGUGACCAGCCUGCAGUGAGAGUUAAACAACUGAACACCUGGAAGAGGAAAGUAAGGAGGAAAAUCAAACCUCAGCAUUGCUCUCCUCCUAGGAACUUUGGCAGUUUUGCAGCUCAGAACGACACCAACUUCACAUGAUGAGUGACAAAUACUGGGGCGAGCCGGCUCUGCCAGGGAAACUUCAAAAUGAGCCGAGCAAACACCGGGAGCUUUCUUCAAUCUGUCUCUCUUGGCCUAUUUCACUCAAACACAGUUGGAAGAUUCACUGGAUUUUCCUUCACAGUUGUGACAUGCUUUUCAUUCCUACAAAGCCGUGAAGCUUCAUGAAACCUGGAGGAAAGCAGUGACAUCAUCUAUUUUAUCAAAUUUGGUUAAAUCCAGUGAAAGACUUCAAAAAGGAAGACAAGAAGACUGCGGGAGGGAGAGUGAGCUGCCUGUGCAACUGUGAAUAUCUCUAUUUCCUAGGAAGCAGCCUAAAAAAAAAUAUCAGUUCUUCAAUUAGGAUAUUGAUCUUCUUGAAGUGAAGUUGCCGUUGUUAACAGUAUAAUUGAAAAUUGGAUGUUUGUGAGACGAAACAGUGAAAACAGGUGCACUUUCCAAUAGGGAGGUCCAUAAGAGAAAUCGCUCUCCUUCCAGUCUGCGGGUGACUAGUGCCGACCACAAGAGAUCAGCAAUCUGCAAGCAAGAGUUGAGGAGGAAAAGGUCACAUAUCAUACAACAGGCUGAACAUGCCCUCCUUUAAGGACUGGCUUUGUAAGGAAUCAGUGUUUCCACUUUACUGAGCCUAGAAAAUCCCUCACUAACCAGGAAUCCCUCACUAUGGAGUUGAUACUGUCUGAGGAUGCUGCACUUAGGUCUGCAGAUGAUCUGAGCAGUCAAGAGGAGAUGCCCAGCAAGGACCGACCUCCUUUGUACAGCAUAAAAGCACCAGGGCAAAGGAAAAGGGCUUCAAUAACCGCAGUGCUGCCCUGGGAGGACAAGGUAUCCCUACCCCUCAUCUUGGUCCCUGCACCUCCUGGGCUGCGAGUUUCUGCUGCAUAGCACAAAGUCCACAAUUCUGGAUUAUUUAAGGCCCUGAACCUGUUACGGUCUAUGAGAGGGGACAGUGGUACCGCCACCGCGUCCGGUGCGAGCAGCCGCUCCUAUCUCCCUUCAGGUUGCCUGCCGGGUUUAACUGCGAGGGACUGGUGGUGCUGCUGGUUUCAGCGAAGGCUGCGUGUGUGCUUGCUAUGGGACAGGCUGUGCAGCCAAUGUGGAAGCAAUGUUAGACACAUAAUGUGUGUACUAGCUUUUAAGCACAAAUAUGAAACUGUAUUUGUGGCGUUUGUAGGGCUUUAUAUCUGGCUUGGAGGUACUGGGUAUAUGGUAUUUCUAAUUUGUCUUGCAUCUAUUGGCUAAAUCAAAGGAAUUGACAUUUAAAUUGUUUCGGGUCUUGGGUAAGUUCUAUUUUACCAGGUGAUGUCAAGAUAAACAUUUGAUUCGUUCACAGAGGAUGAGAGAUUCAGACAGAAGAGAAAAGUGAGCAGCUGCAAAGUAUUUUCCACGGAGUUUCUAUUUCUUAUUUUCCUUCUCUGCCUAAAAAUUCCCAUCAGGUUUUUCCUGUGUGAUCUGUGCAUCCACGUCUCUGGGCCUUGCAGUAAGGAUAAACGGUCAGUGCCAAGAGAUAGCUAAUCACCUUCAUGUUACUUUAAUAGCACGCUUUUGGGUUUAGCCAUUUACGGUCAUCAGAAGAUAGAUGGAAAGGAGACCAGGAGUCCUGGGCAUAUCUGACCCUCUUCCACGGACACAACGGGAUAAAACAUUGCUGGCUGUUUUUGUAAAAAUGGCUGAAGGAUGAGUCUGUGGGCUAAUCUAAACCCUGAUGUCUUUAAAAAUUGUUCCCUAGUGGGUAUAAAUCUCUCUUAAUGAUCUCAUGUGGGUUUUAUUGUCAAAGCAUUUAUUUGCUCACUCAUAAAUUAGCCAGAGGUGUAGCUUGCUGCCGGAGCUUUGGACGACGUGGCUGCCGGUCCUUUGCCUUGCUGAAAAGACUCGAGGCUCGUGCAGGUGUUCAGGUUGCUCUGGCUUUGUCGGGGGAAGCUCUUGCAGUGUUAGUCCAAGCUUUUAAGGAAUUUAUCUUACUUUCCAAUAAAGCAAGACAUGUCCAAAACUUACUUCUCCCUGGACAGUGUGACCAGCACUGCAGAGCUGUUUGGAAAUCUGAAUUGAUUUUCAUGGGGGUGCAGUGUCCAAAUGGGGACCUGGCUCUAAAUGUCUGCAGAUCACUUAGGUUAGAUCUUCAGUGUACAGGAGUUUUUGCUUAAGUAUUUCUUUAUUUUGUACUUUGCUUUUAAAAAAUGGCCUAUAGAAGUCCAUUGCUUUGAUAUAUUUUCU
Molecule: non-coding RNA, 2831 nt
Organism: Struthio camelus australis
Lineage: Eukaryota; Metazoa; Chordata; Aves; Struthioniformes; Struthionidae
Source: RefSeq, a predicted model, not a curated record